RNAcentral lists this ribosomal RNA (200 nucleotides) under uncultured bacterium. Its description in RNAcentral is "partial 16S ribosomal RNA". It matches the Rfam family "Bacterial small subunit ribosomal RNA", at positions 28 to 221 of the family's 1533-position model. The record is from RNAcentral.
GACGAACGCUGGCGGCGUGCUUAACACAUGCAAGUCGAACGAGAUCCAACGAGUGGCAACACUCGGGAGGAUCUAGUGGCGAACGGGUGCGUAACACGUGAGGAACCUACCCCGGUCUCUGGAAUAACAGGUGGAAACACCUGCUAAUACCAGAUGCCGUCAAAUCAUCGCAUGGUGAACUGACGAAAGAAUUUCGGAUC